UACGUAGGGUGCGAGCGUUGUCCGGAAUUACUGGGCGUAAAGAGCUCGUAGGUGGUUUGUCGCGUUGUCCGUGAAAACUCACAACUCAAUUGUGGGCGUGCGGGCGAUACGGGCAGACUAGAGGUAUGCAGGGGAGAACGGAAUUCCUGGUGUAGCGGUGAAAUGCGCAGAUAUCAGGAGGAACACUGGUGGCGAAGGCGGGUCUCUGGGCAGUAACUGACGCUGAGGAGCGAAAGCGUGGGGAGCGAACAGG
Molecule: ribosomal RNA, 253 nt
Filed under: uncultured bacterium
Lineage: Bacteria
Description: partial 16S ribosomal RNA
Rfam family: Bacterial small subunit ribosomal RNA
Source: RNAcentral